GAUGAACGCUGGCGGCGUGCCUAAUACAUGCAAGUCGAGCGAACAGACGAGGAGCUUGCUCCUCUGACGUUAGCGGCGGACGGGUGAGUAACACGUGGAUAACCUACCUAUAAGACUGGGAUAACUUCGGGAAACCGGUGCUAACACCGGAUAAUAUAUUGAACCGCAUGGUUCAAUAGUGAAAGACGGUUUUGCUGUCACUUAUAGAUGGAUCCGCGCCGCAUUAGCUAGUUGGUAAGGUAACGGCUUACCAAGACAACGAUGCGUAGCCGACCUGAGAGGCUGGUCGGCCACACUGGAACUGAGACACGGUCCAGACUCCUACGGUAGGCAGCAGUAGGGACUCUUCCGCAAUGGGCGAAAGCCUGACGGAGCAACGCCGCGGGAGUGAUGAAGGUCUUCGGAUCGUAAAACUCUGUUAUUAGGGAAGAACAAAUGUGUAAGUAACUAUGCACGUCUUGACGGUACCUAAUCAGAAAGCCCCGGCUAACUACGUG
This 497-nucleotide ribosomal RNA is filed under the name uncultured bacterium. Its description in RNAcentral is "partial 16S ribosomal RNA". It matches the Rfam family "Bacterial small subunit ribosomal RNA", at positions 28 to 507 of the family's 1533-position model. The record is from RNAcentral.